GAUGAACGCUGGCGGCGUGCCUAAUACAUGCAAGUCGAGCGAACAGACGAGGAGCUUGCUCCUCUGACGUUAGCGGCGGACGGGUGAGUAACACGUGGAUAACCUACCUAUAAGACUGGGAUAACUUCGGGAAACCGGAGCUAAUACCGGAUAAUAUAUUGAACCGCAUGGUUCAAUAGUGAAAGACGGUUUUGCUGUCACUUAUAGAUGGAUCCGCGCCGCAUUAGCUAGUUGGUAAGGUAACGGCUUACCAAGGCGACGAUGCGUAGCCGACCUGAGAGGGGUGUCCGCCCCCCCUGGACCUGAGCACCGUUCAGACUCCUACGGGAGGCAGCAGUAGGGAAUCUUCCGCAAUGGGCGAAAGCCUGACGGAGCAACGCCGCGUGGGUGAUGAAGGUCUUCGGAUCGUAAAACUCUGUUAUUAGGGAAGAACAAAUGUGUAAGUAACUAUGCACGUCUUGACGGUACCUAAUCAGAAAGCCACGGCUAACUACGUG
This 497-nucleotide ribosomal RNA is filed under the name uncultured bacterium. Its description in RNAcentral is "partial 16S ribosomal RNA". It matches the Rfam family "Bacterial small subunit ribosomal RNA", at positions 28 to 507 of the family's 1533-position model. The record is from RNAcentral.